Molecule: ribosomal RNA, 264 nt
Filed under: uncultured bacterium
Lineage: Bacteria
Description: partial 16S ribosomal RNA
Rfam family: Bacterial small subunit ribosomal RNA
Source: RNAcentral
GUCCACGCUGUAAACGAUGGAUACUAGGUGUAGGGGGUAUCGACCCCUUCUGUGCCGCAGUUAACACAAUAAGUAUCCCACCUGGGGAGUACGGCCGCAAGGUUGAAACUCAAAGGAAUUGACGGGGGCCCGCACAAGCAGUGGAGUAUGUGGUUUAAUUCGAAGCAACGCGAAGAACCUUACCAGGACUUGACAUACCAUUGACGUAUCUAGAGAUAGGUAUUUCCUUCGGGACAAUGGAUACAGGUGGUGCAUGGUUGUCGU